GCUUUCCCGGCUGAUCUGAUUACUUUUCUCUUCACGUUUUGUCCCAAUAGCAAAUUACCAAUUCUAUGAAUUGCAAAGCAGCCUCUGAGACGCUGAGGGGUAGAGAGGGGGAGAUUGUGAAGAUUGAAAGGGAUCUUUGCAAACACAAUCACGUUCUUAAAUGGAAAUGCGGGGCUUUAAACAAAUCUUACAUCUCUCCUGUUUCAGUCGUGUAAAACUCCGCAAUCAGGAACACACACUCAGGAACGGAGCUGUUGCUGAAGAUUUUUUGGGUAUCAGUCCUAUUUCAAUUAUUUAUUGUAAUGUAUUUUUGCUAACGGUCGCAUUUGUGCAUUUGUCUUGUGUUCAGUGGGCUACGUCCACAGGGUUUUGAAUAGAAAUGCAGCGUUGCCUAAUAUUUGGGGGAAAAACCAGACAUGAAAGCAAAAUGUUUUGCAGUGGGCGGGAGGAUGGUUGAGGAGAGGCAUCUCUGACUGCCGCACAUCUGAAUUCGAACCCCCCACCUCUUCUUCCUCGUUUACACUCAUUUUCUGGCAAUUAAAAAGCAGUGGUGCUGCAGGUUCUUUCGCCUGCAGUGCAACACUCCACCACUGAUGAAUAAUUUCUGCUCUCUGCCGAGAAGCUGGCCCUCCUUUCAUGUUCUUGCUUUGUUGAUUUGCCAUUAAAACUCAGCAUGUGGUUUGGCUGUAGCUGAAAUAUGUGAACACACACUUUGCGUAUUGUAUGCAUGUGUUGCUGUCCAUCAUGUUUUUUUUUUAAUUAUAUUUUUAUCAAUUGUGUUGCAUUGAGUGGUUGAUUCAUCUCAUUGAGUUAUGCUCAUGUGACUUGCAAUGGGUUUUUCCUACAGCAUCAUUCUCCAUUAUCAGUGCGUUGAUUUGAUUUGAGGGUUUGAUACUUAUUUGAAUGAGUCCCAGAGUACUACUUCUUGGUCAUGCACACUCUCAUUACAUGCAGUGUUUUUGUGUGGAGCAUGGAGGGAAAGUAUGUAUGUGUGUGCG
Molecule: long non-coding RNA, 998 nt
Organism: Ictalurus punctatus (channel catfish)
Lineage: Eukaryota; Metazoa; Chordata; Actinopteri; Siluriformes; Ictaluridae
Source: Ensembl